Molecule: long non-coding RNA, 336 nt
Filed under: Monodelphis domestica (gray short-tailed opossum)
Lineage: Eukaryota; Metazoa; Chordata; Mammalia; Didelphimorphia; Didelphidae
Description: lncRNA (ENSMODG00000045618.1)
Source: RNAcentral
UGAAACAAAAAUACGGUCAAGGAGGUUGCCUGUUGCUGCUGCUAUCCAGCUAGAAAAUGAAAUUUAAUAAAGUUUGGGGACCUAUUCAAGGUACCACAGUUAGAGAACACAUCUUUGCUCACUGCCUCAAACUGCCCAGCUCUUAGAAUGGUUCGCAACUGCCUCCUGGAUGUGGUGCCUCCUACUGGGCUUCUCAGGAAACAGAAGUUAUUAAAAAGUGGCAAAAGCGUUUGGAAUCUGCAAGUGCUAAGGAGGAGGCACAUGCCAUUGGCACCAUGCUGUAGUCUCUUCAUUCCCAACCAAUGGAAGGAGUAUGGGAUCUUGUUGACUCUAUGA